CGGCUCAUCACAUCCUGGGGCUGGAGAAGGUCCCAAGGGUUUGGCUGUUCGCCAAUUAAAGUGGUACGCGAGCUGGGUUCAAACCGUCGUGAGACAGGUUGGUCUCCUAUCUGCUGUAGGCGUUUAUUGCUUGAGAGGAUUCUUUCCUAGUACGAGAGGACCGGAAAGAACAAACCUCUGGUGUACCAGCUGUGGCGCCAGCCGCAUUGCUGGGUAGCUAAGUUUGGAAGGGAUAACCGCUGAAAGCAUAUAAGCGGGAAGCCCACCUCAAGAUUAGGCA
Molecule: ribosomal RNA, 280 nt
Filed under: Candidatus Moranbacteria bacterium CG_4_9_14_3_um_filter_33_15
Lineage: Bacteria; Candidatus Moraniibacteriota
Description: partial 23S ribosomal RNA
Rfam family: Bacterial large subunit ribosomal RNA
Source: RNAcentral